CUACGGGUGGCAGCAGUGGGGAAUAUUGGACAAUGGGCGAAAGCCUGAUCCAGCAAUGCCACGUGAGUGAUGAAGGCCUUCGGGUUGUAAAGCUCUUUCAACAAGGAAGAUAAUGACGGUACUUGUAUAAGAAGCACCGGCUAACUCCGUGCCAGCAGCCGCGGUAAUACGGAGGGUGCUAGCGUUGUUCGGAAUUACUGGGCGUAAAGAGCGCGUAGGCGGCUUAUUAAGUUAGAAGUGAAAUCCCAGGGCUUAACCCUGGAACUGCAUCCGAUACUGUCUAGCUUGAGUACAGGAGAGGAGAGUGGAAUUCCACAUGUAGCGGUGAAAUGCGUAGAUAUGUGGAGGAACACCAAUGGCGAAGGCAGCUCUCUGGCCUGAUACUGACGCUGAGGUGCGAAAGCGUGGGGAGCAAACAGGAUUAGAUACCCGGGUAGUC
This 439-nucleotide ribosomal RNA is filed under the name uncultured bacterium. RNAcentral describes it as "partial 16S ribosomal RNA". It matches the Rfam family "Bacterial small subunit ribosomal RNA", at positions 339 to 795 of the family's 1533-position model. The record is from RNAcentral.